GUGCUCACUUUGGCAGCACAUAUACUAAAACUGGAAUGAUACAGAGAAGAUUAGCAUGGCCCCUGUGCAAGGAUGACACGUAAAUUUGUGAAGCAUUGAAAAAAAGU
This 107-nucleotide small nuclear RNA is filed under the name Vicugna pacos (alpaca). Lineage: Eukaryota; Metazoa; Chordata; Mammalia; Artiodactyla; Camelidae. The record is from RNAcentral.